CGCGUAGGUGGUAGUGCAAGUCUGGGGUGGAAUCUUAGGGCUUAACCCUAAAACUGCCUUGGAAACUGCAUUACUUGAGUCAGUGAGGGGAGGGUAGAAUUCCUGGUGUAGCGGUGAAAUGCGUAGAUAUCAGGAGGAAGGCCUGUGGCGAAGGCGGCCCUCUGGCGCUGAACUGACACUGAGGCGCGAAAGCGUGGGUAGCAAACAGGAUUAGAUACCCUGGUAGUCCACGCCCUAAACGGUGGGUACUAGGUGUAGGGCUCGUAAGGGUUCUGUGCCGAAGGGAAACCAUUAAGUACCCCGCCUGGGGAGUACGGCCGCAAGGUUGAA
Molecule: ribosomal RNA, 330 nt
Filed under: uncultured bacterium
Lineage: Bacteria
Description: bacterial SSU rRNA
Rfam family: Bacterial small subunit ribosomal RNA
Source: RNAcentral